CAGAGGUCCCAAGCGUUGUUCGGAUUUACUGGGCGUAAAGGGUGCGUAGGCGUCGGGUAAGUCUGAUGUGAAAUCUCUGGGCUCAACCCAGAAAUGGCAUUGGAUACUAUUCGGCUAGAGAGUUGGAGGGGGGACUGGAAUACUUGGUGUAGCAGUGAAAUGCGUAGAUAUCAAGUGGAACACCAGUGGCGAAGGCGAGUCCCUGGACAACUUCUGACGCUGAGGCACGAAAGCUAGGGGAGCAAACAGGAUUAGAUACCCUGGUAGUCCUAGCUGUAAACGGUGCUUAUUUGCUGUAAAAGGAAUCGACCCCUUUUGUGGCGUAGCAAACGCGUUAAAUAAGCCGCCUGGGAAGUACGGUCGCAAGAUUA
This 371-nucleotide ribosomal RNA is filed under the name uncultured organism. RNAcentral's name for it is "bacterial SSU rRNA". It matches the Rfam family "Bacterial small subunit ribosomal RNA", at positions 526 to 896 of the family's 1533-position model. The record is from RNAcentral.